AGCCUGGUGCUUGCACCGGGUGGAUGAGUGGCGAACCCCCUCUAAGGGCGUGAGUAACCUGCCCCUGACUUCGGGAUAAGCCCUUGUAAACUGGGUCUAAUACCGGAUACGACUGCCGGACGCAUGUCUGGUGGUGGAAAGUUUUUUCGGUUGGGGAUGGGCUCGCGGCCUAUCAGUUUGUUGGUGAGGUAAUGGCUCACCAAGACGACGACGGGUAGCCGGCCUGAGAGGGCGACCGGCCACACUGGGACUGAGACACGGCCCAGACUCCUACGGGAGGCAGCAGUGGGGAAUAUUGCACAAUGGGGGAAACCCUGAUGCAGCGACGCAGCGUGCGGGAUGACGGCCUUCGGGUUGUAAACCGCUUUCAGCAGGGAAGAAGCGCAAGUGACGGUACCUGCAGAAGAAGUACCGGCUAACUACGUGCCAGCAGCCGCGGUAAUACGUAGGGUACGAGCGUUGUCCGGAAUUAUUGGGCGUAAAGAGCUCGUAGGUGGUUGGUCACGUCUGCUGUGGAAACGCAACGCUUAACGUUGCGCGUGCAGUGGGUACGGGCUGACUAGAGUGCAGUAGGGGAGUCUGGAAUUCCUGGUGUAGCGGUGAAAUGCGCAGAUAUCAGGAGGAACACCGGUGGCGAAGGCGGGACUCUGGGCUGUAACUGACACUGAGGAGCGAAAGCAUGGGGAGCGAACAGGAUUAGAUACCCUGGUAGUCCAUGCCGUAAACGUUGGGCACUAGGUGUGGGGGGCAUUCCACGUUCUCCGCGCCGUAGCUAACGCAUUACGUGCCGCGCCUGGGGAGUACGGUCGCAAGGCUAAAACUCAAAGGAAUUGACCGGGGCCCGCACAAGCGGCGGAGCAUGCGGAUUAAUUCCAUGCAACGCGAAGAACCUUACCAAGGCUUGACCUACACCGGAACCGUCCUGCAAACAAGGUCCUCUUCUUUGAAGCUGGUGUACAG
Molecule: ribosomal RNA, 960 nt
Filed under: uncultured bacterium
Lineage: Bacteria
Description: bacterial SSU rRNA
Rfam family: Bacterial small subunit ribosomal RNA
Source: RNAcentral